This 3117-nucleotide ribosomal RNA is filed under the name activated sludge metagenome. RNAcentral's name for it is "bacterial LSU rRNA". It matches the Rfam family "Bacterial large subunit ribosomal RNA". The record is from RNAcentral.
AAAUAAUUAUAAGGGCAAAAGGUGGAUGCCUUGGCACUAAAAGGCGAUGAAGGACGUGGCGUAGCUGCGAUAAGCUUCGGGGAGAUGUGUAGCAAUCUGCGAUCCGAAGAUUUCCGAAUGGGGAAACCCAAAUGGUCUUAUAAACCAUUUACUUUAUUAUUGAAGAAUAAUAAAGAGCGCACCUGGGGAAGUGAAACAUCUCAGUACCCAGAGGAAAAGAAAACAACUACCGCUGCUUCGCAACGGAAGCACCAAAUUCAAAUGCUAAAUUUUUGAUUAAAAUAAAUAAUUGCAAACUGAUAUUCAAAAUUUGAUAUUUGGAAUUUCCGCUGCAAAGCAGCGGUGACAUUCCCUAAGUAGUGGCGAGCGAAAAGGGAACAGCCCAAACCUUUUCUUUUAUUAUAUAAAAGAAAAGGGGUAAUAAGAAUAGUCUGCUUUUAUCGUAAGAUAAAACAAGGUAAAAAGUGAUAAUAAUUAGCAAAAAUAUCUGGAAGGAUAUACCAAAGAAGGUAAAAGUCCUGUAUGCGAAAAUUAUUAUCUACCUUGAAGAUUAUUUCUUGAGUACCCCGAAGCAAAGGUAACUUUGGGGGAAUUCUCCUGAACUAUCAAGGAAAGGCUAAAUACUUUUAGUGACCGAUAGUGAACAAGUACCGUGAGGGAAAGGUGAAAAGCAACCCGGUGAGGGUGGUGAAAUAGUACCUGAAACCUUUAUGCCUACAAGUAGGCAGAGGUCGUCUUCGGAUGACUGAUGCCGUGCCUAUUGAAGAAUGAGCCGGCGAGUUUAUUUAUUAUGCUUAAUUUAAGUCGCCUCGAGCGAUGGAAAUGCAGCGAAAGCGAGUGUUAAAAGCGCGAGUAACAGUAUAAUAAGUAAGACCCGAAGCCAGAUGAUCUUGCCAUGGGCAGGGUGAAUUUCAUAGAAAUAUGAGAGGAGGCCCGAACCCGUAGGUUGUACAAUACCUUGGGAUGACCUGUGGUAAGGAGUGAAAUACUAACCGAAUCUGGAAAUAGCUGGUUCUUCCCGAAAUAGCUCUAGGGCUAGCGUUCAACAAUGCUCAGUUGGGGGUAGAGCUACUAAUUCAGCAACAUGGGGGAAACCUCGGUUGCCGUGUUAAACUCCGAAUACCAAUUGAACUAUUUGAACAGUCAGACUGUGGGGGCUAAGCUUCAUAGUCGAGAGGAAAAGAAUCCUGAUCGCCAUCUAAGGUCCCUAAAUUUUGGCUAAGUGCUAGUGUAAGGUAGUGGUUCACCAAUGACAGUUAGGAGGUUGGCUUAGAGGUAGCUAUCCUUUAAAGAGUGUGUAACAACUCACUACCAUAUUUGCUUACUUAAAUUUAUUUUAAGUAAGCAGGUGAGCUGCGCCGAAAAUGUAAAGGGGCUCAAGCCAAAUACCGAAGAUGCGAACAUUGUUGUAAAACAACAAUGUGGUAGGGAAGCAUUUUUUAUUCGUUGAAGGUUUACCCGUGAGGGAAGCUGGAGGAUAAAGAAGCGAGAAUGCCGGCACAAGUAACCGCAAGUCGCCUGAGAACGGCGACCCCUGUAAGCCCAAGGUUUCCUUAGCAAUGAAAAUCAACUAAGGGUUAGGCGGUCCUAAGGCAAUAGCGAAAGCUGGAGUCGAUGGAUUACUGGUUAAUAUUCCAGUCCUUCUAUUUUGUAUCAAUGGGACGACGGAGAAAAUAAGAAAGAGCAUCUUAAUGGUUUGGUGUUGUAAAAUUAGAAUUGCUAAUUAGGUAAAUCCUGUUAGCUAGAUUAAAUUCUCAAAUUCGAUUUAAACAAAAGAGAGAAGUUUCUUUUCUCAAUUCUUUCGAAGAGUCUUCCAGGAAAAAUCUCUAGAUAUAACAAAAUAGAAUCCGUACCAAAACCGACACAGGUGGGCGAGGCGAGUAGCCUCAAGGGAACGAGUGAGUCCUCGUUAAGGAACUAGGCAAAAAAGCGGCCGUAAGUUCGCGAUAAGGCCUGUCGCCGUAAGGCGACCGCAGCGAAAGUUUGUUUAGCGACUGUUUAUCAAAAACACAGGUCCCUGCGAAUUCUUAAGAAGAUGUAUAGGGGCUGAUACCUGUCCGAUGCCAGAAGGUGAACAGUGCCUGUCCAUUAAUCGCAAGAUUAGUGGGCUGCGUGCUCUAAGCCCUGGUCAAUGACAGCGAUAACUAUAAUCGUUCUAAGGUAGCGUAAUUCCUUGUCAGGUAAGUUCUGACGUGCAUGAAUGGUAUAACGACUAAACAACUGUCUCAACGAGGAGCUCGGUGAAAAUACGAGUCCAGUGAAGACGCUGGGUACCCGUGGUUAGACGAACAGACCCUAGAAGCUUUACUGUAACCUGAUAUUGAUUUUAGUCCGCUAAUGCGUAGCAUAGGUGGGAGACUUUGAAGGUUGUCUUUCGGGACAACUGGAGUCGUCAGUGCAAUACCACCCUUUAGUGGGUUAAAGUCUAACCUUGUUAGAAAAACUAAUGAGGGACAUUGUUUGGUAGGCAGUUUUCGUGGGGCGCGAUUCUCCUAAAAAGUAACGGAGAAGCCUAUUAAGGUUGGCUAUCUGCCAAUAGAAACGGCGGAGAUAGUGCAAAGGCAUAAGCCAGCUUUAUAGUAAGGAAGACAUUCCGCACUAUUGCGAAAGCAGAGCUUAGUGACCCGACACAUCUUUAUAGAAAGGGUGGAGACUCCGGACAAAAGCUACUCUAGGGAUAACAGGCUAGUGAAGCCCGAAAGUUCACAUCGACGACUUCGCUCGGCACCUCGAUGUCGGCUCAUCCUAUCCUGGGGCUGAAGCAGGUCCCAAGGGUCCGGCUGUUCGCCGGUUAAAAGGAUACGCGAGCUGGGUUCAAUACGUCGUGAGACAGUAUGGACUCCUAUCUACCAUGGGCGUUCGAUAUUUGAGGGGACUCGACUAUAGUACGAGAGGAUUUAGUUGACCAAACCUCUGGUGUACCAGUUGUUCUACCAAGAGCAUAGCUGGGUAGCUAAGUUUGGAUAGGAUAACCGCUGAAAGCAUCUAAGUGGGAAACCUUCCCCAAGAUUAGAUAUCGUUUUAGGUUCCCAGGAGAUGACUGGGUUGAUAGGCUCUCAGUGUAAGACGAGUAAUCGUUUGAGCUAAAGAGUACUAAUAAACCGAAAUUUCCUCAUC